UAAUACGGAGGGUGCAAGCGUUGUUCGGAAUUACUGGGCGUAAAGGGCGCGUAGGCGGCCUGAUUAGUCAGAUGUGAAAGCCCACGGCUCAACCGUGGAAGUGCAUUUGAAACUGUCAGGCUUGAGUAUCGGAGGGGAAAGUGGAAUUCCCGGUGUAGAGGUGAAAUUCGUAGAGAUCGGGAGGAACACCGGUGGCGAAGGCGACUUUCUGGACGAAUACUGACGCUGAGGCGCGAAAGCGUGGGGAGCAAACAGGAUUAGAUACCCUGGUAGUCCACGCCGUAAACGAUGUGAACUAGGGAUAGGGGGUGUUGAUCCCUCCUGUCCCGCAGCUAACGCAUUAAGUUCACCGCCUGGGGAGUACGGUCGCAAGAUUA
Molecule: ribosomal RNA, 377 nt
Filed under: uncultured delta proteobacterium
Lineage: Bacteria; Deltaproteobacteria
Description: bacterial SSU rRNA
Rfam family: Bacterial small subunit ribosomal RNA
Source: RNAcentral